RNAcentral lists this ribosomal RNA (482 nucleotides) under uncultured bacterium. RNAcentral describes it as "partial 16S ribosomal RNA". It matches the Rfam family "Bacterial small subunit ribosomal RNA", at positions 30 to 507 of the family's 1533-position model. The record is from RNAcentral.
AUUGAACGCUGGCGGCAUGCUUUACACAUGCAAGUCGAACGGUAACAGGCCGCAAGGUGCUGACGAGUGGCGAACGGGUGAGUAAUGCAUCGGAACGUGCCCAGUCGUGGGGGAUAACUAUUCGAAAGAGUAGCUAAUACCGCAUACGAUCUAUGGAUGAAAGCGGGGGACCGUAAGGCCUCGCGCGAUUGGAGCGGCCGAUGUCAGAUUAGGUAGUUGGUGGGGUAAAGGCUCACCAAGCCAACGAUCUGUAGCUGGUCUGAGAGGACGACCAGCCACACUGGGACUGAGACACGGCCCAGACUCCUACGGGAGGCAGCAGUGGGGAAUUUUGGACAAUGGGCGCAAGCCUGAUCCAGCAAUGCCGCGUGCAGGAAGAAGGCCUUCGGGUUGUAAACUGCUUUUGUACGGAACGAAACGGCUCUGGUUAAUACCCGGGGCUAAUGACGGUACCGUAAGAAUAAGCACCGGCUAACUACGUG